UACGUAGGGUGCGAGCGUUAAUCGGAAUUACUGGGCGUAAAGCGUGCGCAGGCGGCUUUGUAAGUCAGAUGUGAAAGCCCCGGGCUCAACCUGGGAAUGGCAUUUGGGACUGCAAGGCUUGAGUGCGGCAGAGGAGACUGGAAUUCCUGGUGUAGCAGUGAAAUGCGUAGAUAUCAGGAGGAAUACCGAUGGCGAAGGCAGGUCUCUGGGCUGACACUGACGCUCAUGCACGAAAGCGUGGGGAGCAAACAGG
This 253-nucleotide ribosomal RNA is filed under the name uncultured bacterium. Its description in RNAcentral is "partial 16S ribosomal RNA". It matches the Rfam family "Bacterial small subunit ribosomal RNA", at positions 524 to 776 of the family's 1533-position model. The record is from RNAcentral.